This 373-nucleotide ribosomal RNA is filed under the name uncultured bacterium. Its description in RNAcentral is "bacterial SSU rRNA". It matches the Rfam family "Bacterial small subunit ribosomal RNA", at positions 521 to 898 of the family's 1533-position model. The record is from RNAcentral.
UAAUACGGAGGGUGCGAGCGUUACCCGGAUUUACUGGGCGUAAAGGGCGUGUAGGCGGUUUUCUAAGUCCGGGGCUAAAGACCAGGGCUCAACCCUGGGUUUGCCUUGGAUACUGGAAAGCUCGACGGCUGGAGGGGGCAGCGGAAUUUCCGGAGUAGCGGUGAAAUGCGCAGAUACCGGAAGGAACGCCAAUAGCGAAGGCAGCUGCCUGGACAGUACGUGACGCUGAGGCGCGAAAGCGUGGGGAGCAAACCGGAUUAGAUACCCGGGUAGUCCACGCCCUAAACGAUGAGUGCUGGGUGUCCGGCGUUUGCCGGGUGCCGAAGCUAACGCGUUAAGCACUCCGCCUGGGAAGUACGGUCGCAAGACUGAA